GAUGAAGAACGUAGUGAAAUGCGAUACGUAAUGUGAAUUGCAGAAUUCAGUGAAUCAUCGAGUCUUUGAACGCACAUUGCGCCCCCUGGUAUUCCGGGGGGCAUGCCUGUCCGAGCGUCAUUGCUGCCCUCAAGCACGGCUUGUGUGUUGGGCCUCCGUCCUCCUCCCGGGGGACGGGCCCGAAAGGCAGCGGCGGCACCGCGUCCGGUCCUCGAGCGUAUGGGGCUUCGUCACCCGCUCUUGUAGGCCCGGCCGGCGCUUGCCGACACAUCAAUCUUUUUUCCAGGUUGACCUCGGAUCAGGUAGGGUUACCCGCUGAACUUAAGCAUAUCAAUAAGCGGAGGA
This 345-nucleotide unclassified non-coding RNA is filed under the name soil metagenome. RNAcentral describes it as "partial contains 5.8S ribosomal RNA, internal transcribed spacer 2, and large subunit ribosomal RNA". The stretch from base 1 to 120 matches the Rfam family "5.8S ribosomal RNA", at positions 35 to 154 of the family's 154-position model. The record is from RNAcentral.